Molecule: ribosomal RNA, 497 nt
Filed under: uncultured bacterium
Lineage: Bacteria
Description: partial 16S ribosomal RNA
Rfam family: Bacterial small subunit ribosomal RNA
Source: RNAcentral
GAUGAACGCUGGCGGCGUGCCUAAUACAUGCAGGUCGAGCGAACGGACGAGAAGCUUGCUUCUCUGAUGUUAGCGGCGGACGGGUGAGUAACACGUGGAUAACCUACCUAUAAGACUGGGAUAACUUCGGGAAACCGGAGCUAAUACCGGAUAAUAUUUUGAACCGCAUGGUUCAAAAGUGAAAGACGGUCUUGCUGUCACUUAUAGAUGGAUCCGCGCUGCAUUAGCUAGUUGGUAAGGUAACGGCUUACCAAGGCAACGAUGCAUAGCCGACCUGAGAGGGUGAUCGGCCACACUGGAACUAAGACACGGUCCAGACUCCUACGGGAGGCAGCAGUAGGGAAUCUUCCGCAAUGGGCGAAAGCCUGACGGAGCAACGCCGCGUGAGUGAUGAAGGUCUUCGGAUCGUAAAACUCUGUUAUUAGGGAAGAACAUAUGUGUAAGUAACUGUGCACAUCUUGACGGUACCUAAUCAGAAAGCCACGGCUAACUACGUG